Molecule: ribosomal RNA, 552 nt
Filed under: uncultured bacterium
Lineage: Bacteria
Description: bacterial SSU rRNA
Rfam family: Bacterial small subunit ribosomal RNA
Source: RNAcentral
CGGCCGCGUCGACCGGAGAUUACUUACGGUAAUCUUAGUGGCGAACGGGUGAGUAACGCGUAGGCAACCGUGCCCUUCAGAUCGGGGACAACAUCCCGAAAGGGGUGCUAAUACCGAAUGUGAUCACAACCUCGCAUGAGGAUGUGAUAGAAAGAUAGGCCUCUAUUUAUAAGCUAUCGCUGAAGGAUGGGGCCUGACGUCUGAUUAGCUAGUUGGUAAGGUAACGGCUUACCAAGGCGAUGGAUCAGUUAGCCGGUCUGAGAGGAUGGAACGGCCACAUUGGGACUGAGGACACGGGCCCAGGACUCGUACGGAGGCAGCAGUGGGUAAUCGUUCGCGAAUGGGCGAAAGCCUGACGGAGCGAAUGGCCGCGUGAGUGAUGAAGGGAUUCGUCCGUAAAGCGUCGUAGUUGUACUAUGGACGUAUGUGACAGUGUUAGUGAACGAGUGACGUGUAAUGUACGGUAGUAGACGAGAAGCCUAGGCUUAACGUCGUGACUAGGCAGGCCGUGGUAAACUACGGUAGGUGGGACGAGUCGGUUGUCCGGUUAAG